RNAcentral lists this ribosomal RNA (253 nucleotides) under uncultured bacterium. RNAcentral's name for it is "partial 16S ribosomal RNA". It matches the Rfam family "Bacterial small subunit ribosomal RNA", at positions 524 to 776 of the family's 1533-position model. The record is from RNAcentral.
UACAGAGGUCCCAAGCGUUGUUCGGAUUCAUUGGGCGUAAAGGGUGCGUAGGUGGGGCUGUAAGUCGGGGGUGAAAUUUCGGAGCUUAACUCCGAAACUGCAUUCGAUACUGCGGUGCUCGAGGACUGGAGAGGAGACUGGAAUUCAUGGUGUAGCAGUGAAAUGCGUAGAGAUCAUGAGGAAGACCAGUGGCGAAGGCGGGUCUCUGGACAGUUCCUGACGCUGAGGCACGAAGGCCAGGGGAGCAAACGGG